CGGACGGGUGAGUAAUGCUUGGGAAUCUGGCUUAUGGAGGGGGAUAACUACGGGAAACUGUAGCUAAUACCGCGUAGUAUCGGAAGAUGAAAGUGUGGGACCGCAAGGCCACAUGCCAUGAGAUGAGCCCAAGUGGGAUUGGGUAGUUGGUUAGGUAAAGGCUGACCAAGCCGACGAUCUCUAGCUGGUCUGAGAGGAUGACCAGCCACACUGGAACUGAGACACGGUCCAGACUCCUACGGGAGGCAGCAGUGGGGAAUAUUGCACAAUGGGGGGAACCCUGAUGCAGCCAUGCCGCGUGAAUGAAGAAGGCCUUCGGGUUGUAAAGUUCUUUCGGUGAUGAGGAAGGCGGUUGUUUUAAUAGAACAAUCGAUUGACGUUAGUCACAAAAGAAGCACCGGCUAACUCCGUGCCAGCAGCCGCGGUAAUACGGAGGGUGCGAGCGUUAAUCGGAAUAACUGGGCGUAAAGGGCA
Molecule: ribosomal RNA, 474 nt
Filed under: uncultured Actinobacillus sp.
Lineage: Bacteria; Pseudomonadati; Pseudomonadota; Gammaproteobacteria; Pasteurellales; Pasteurellaceae
Description: bacterial SSU rRNA
Rfam family: Bacterial small subunit ribosomal RNA
Source: RNAcentral